Molecule: long non-coding RNA, 668 nt
Filed under: Nicotiana benthamiana
Lineage: Eukaryota; Viridiplantae; Streptophyta; Magnoliopsida; Solanales; Solanaceae
Description: long non-coding RNA (NBEN_LNC011008)
Source: RNAcentral
UAACAUCUCCAAACAUGAGGGACAAUCCCAAAUUCUUCAUUCAGAUAGCAAUUUUCUUCUUUCUAGCUUAUGUUGUUGUUGUGUCAUCAUUGAUCUUGACAGAUAUUUGAAACUUUUCACUUUCCAUUUUCACAAAAUUGUAGAUUGUUCGUUGCGACUUCUAAGCCUUUUUUUUUUUGGAUUGACAUGCAUUUGAAUGUUAAUUACAAGAUAUAGAGUAAGCAGGGCUAUGACUUUCUUUCAGUUGUGGCAUAGUUUGGUAUAGAAAACUGUAAAAGCAAUGGGAAGUGCUCCCUUGUAUAAUAUAUUUGAAACUCUUUUCACUUUUCAUUUUCUCAAAAUUGUAGAUUGUUCGUUGCGACCUCUAAGCCUUUUUUUUGGAUUGACAGGCAUUUGAAUGUUAAUUACAGACAUAGAGUAACAGUAAGCAGGGCUAUGACUUUCUUUCAAUUGUGGCAUAGUUUGGUAUAGAAAACUGUAAAGCCAUGGGAAGUGCUCCCUUGUAUUAUAUAUUUGAAACUUCCAAUCAUAGCUGGACGGCUUAUCUGUUUCAGUAACUGCAAAAUCUAUCUGUUCAUUUUAGAAUACCAUGGAUUACUGGAGAAGGUUCAUUACUCAUAUAUAUUUGUUAAAACUGAGAAUAAAUUGUUGCCUGAUUUAUUACUUAC